Molecule: ribosomal RNA, 495 nt
Filed under: uncultured bacterium
Lineage: Bacteria
Description: partial 16S ribosomal RNA
Rfam family: Bacterial small subunit ribosomal RNA
Source: RNAcentral
GACGAACGCUGGCGGCGUGCCUAAUACAUGCAAGUAGAACGCUGAAGGAGGAGCUUGCUUCUCUGGAUGAGUUGCGAACGGGUGAGUAACGCGUAGGUAACCUGCCUGGUAGCGGGGGAUAACUAUUGGAAACGAUAGCUAAUACCGCAUAAUAGUAGAUGUUGCAUGACAUUUACUUAAAAGGUGCAAUUGCAUCACUACCAGAUGGACCUGCGUUGUAUUAGUUAGUUGGUGGGGUAACGGCUCACCAAGGCGACGAUACAUAGCAGACCUGAGAGGGGGAUCGGCCACACUGGGAAUUGAACACGGCCCAGACUCCUACGGGAGGCAGCAGUAGGGAAUCUUCGGCAAUGGACGAAAGUCUGACCGAGCAACGCCGCGUGAGUGAAGAAGGUUUUCGGAUCGUAAAGCUCUGUUGUAAGAGAAGAACGAGUGUGAGAGUGGAAAGUUCACACUGUGACGGUAUCUUACCAGAAAGGGACGGCUAACUACGUG